RNAcentral lists this transfer RNA (73 nucleotides) under Zancudomyces culisetae. It matches the Rfam family "tRNA". From Rfam's summary of the family: Transfer RNA (tRNA) molecules are approximately 80 nucleotides in length. The record is from Rfam by way of RNAcentral. Lineage: Eukaryota; Fungi; Kickxellomycota; Harpellomycetes; Harpellales; Legeriomycetaceae.
AGAGCUGUGGUGUAGUGGCUAUCACGUCUGCUUCACACGCAGAAGGUCUUGGGUUCGAUCCCCAACAGCUUUA